AUAAUGUGGAUAACCCAAGAAAGGUACUUUCCCAGGUUACUGUUCAGGUGGCAUACAGGAAGGAGUACAAGACUUUGCCCUAUCAUGUACAAUCUCUCCCUACAACUUUAGAGAGGAAGCCAGGUACUGUGUCUGCACCUGCAUUCUCCUAUGGCUUCUCAGAGUCCUAUAGAAAAUAACUGAAGAGACAAACCAGGCAUGAAACAUAC
Molecule: non-coding RNA, 209 nt
Organism: Erinaceus europaeus (western European hedgehog)
Lineage: Eukaryota; Metazoa; Chordata; Mammalia; Eulipotyphla; Erinaceidae
Source: Rfam